RNAcentral lists this long non-coding RNA (544 nucleotides) under Solanum tuberosum (potato). RNAcentral describes it as "long non-coding RNA (STUB_LNC002986)". Lineage: Eukaryota; Viridiplantae; Streptophyta; Magnoliopsida; Solanales; Solanaceae. The record is from RNAcentral.
GGAGGUGGGACAUAGAUUGGUGAAAAUAUUACACUAUUUGAUGAUAUCACAUAAAUCCUUUCAAAACCUUUUUAUUAAUCAAAUAAAUUAAACACGACUACAUAUAAAUGCUUUCCCUCCACACACACAAAGACAAAAACAACCAAACGAAAAUACACUCAUCAUCAUCAAACAUUUUCUCUCUAACACAUUUUCAUAUAUAGAGUUCAUAAAUUAAUUGCAUGGCCAACUUAGUUCAUAGACCUUGUCUAUCUUUCUCCAUUUUUGUGAUGAUGGUAAUAUUAAUGGCUGCAUCUUCAACAACAAGUCACAGAUUAUUAAUGCCAAUCGAAACAACAACAAGGGGAGGAAUGAUGAGUACUAAUAAUCAACAUGUUAGUUUGGCGAAACGCAGAGUGCCAUCCUCUGGUCCAAGCAGAAGAGGUCAUAGAAAAGUUUUUCCGAUUACAUGAUUAGCACAUUUGUAACAUUUUAUAUGAUAUUCAUGAACAACCUUUACACUAAGGUGAUUUUGUGUUAUGUUUUCUUAAUUUGAGAGGUGGGA